UAGAACGUUAACGUACGGUACGACUCGGUGACAGGUGGUGCAUGGUUGUCGUCAGCUCGUGUCGUGAGAUGUUGGUUAAGUCCCGCAACGAGCGCAACCCCUAUUGUUAGUUGCCAUCAUUCAGUUGGGCACUCUAGCGAGACUGCCGGUAAUAAACCGGAGGAAGGUGGGAUGACGUCAAAUCAUCAUGCCCCUUAUGACCUGGGCUACACACGUGCUACAAUGGUUGGUACAACGAGUUGCGAGUCGGUGACGGCGAGCUAAUCUCUUAAAGCCAAUCUCAGUUCGGAUUGUAGGCUGCAACUCGCCUACAUGAAGUCGGAAUCGCUAGUAAUCGCGGAUCAGCAUGUCGCGGUGAAUACGUUCCCGGGUCUU
This 375-nucleotide ribosomal RNA is filed under the name uncultured Streptococcus sp. RNAcentral describes it as "bacterial SSU rRNA". It matches the Rfam family "Bacterial small subunit ribosomal RNA", at positions 1005 to 1382 of the family's 1533-position model. The record is from RNAcentral. Lineage: Bacteria; Bacillati; Bacillota; Bacilli; Lactobacillales; Streptococcaceae.